CUCUGGAGUCUAUACUAGAUUCUGUAACGUCGCGAAGGUAUGGAGUGAAAUUUGUCUUCACCGGGAAUUUCUAGAAGUGGGUCCCCCAUGACAGUAGGCAACUGAAGUCAGCAGUCAGCAACCCUAACGUCCAACGGUUUUUCCUCUCAAAAUUUGUGGAAGUGGGAUUCCUCAGAGCGGAGACAGAUAUUCCUGGUGGUUGGACUUGGAACAGAGAGAGCUUUUCUUUGGUUGGACUGUAAGAGUGGAAGAUGGAUCAUCCCUACCCUUUUGAGGGAAACCUAACUAUGUACAAAGGGAGCAAACGAUCAUUCGAGUCAAGCCAACCAUUCGGGUUGUCCGGAGCUAGAACAUGGGUAACAUAACUUUGCAAGUCAGGAGAGAAGAAGUUGUGGUGAGCCAAGCAAGCAAAACGUAAGGCCCAGUCGACCGAAAGGAAAUGAUACGGUACACUCCCGCUGGGUCUGGAAAGCAAUUGAAGCAAAGUGCUGUGACUGUUACCGUCCAUACAAAGAGUUUGUCACGCUAAAGCUGUUUUUGUUCUGAAGUUGCUGAUAUACUAUUGGAUUUUUUAUCCUUCUAGUUCUAAUUGCCAUUAACAUUUAAGUUCUAAUUUGGAAAUUCCUUACCUUUGGUUCUAGUAGAUCAUAUGCUACAAGUUUUUUUGAGAUUAAGCAAUUUAGCUAUUAGAUUGCCUCGAUAUUUUGACCAUAUAUUCAGGAACCCUUGUGGUGAACUCGAUUUCAGUUUGGCCUAAUUCUGUCUGAUCUUGAGAUAUUUCUGUUUUUCUCA
Molecule: long non-coding RNA, 792 nt
Organism: Macadamia integrifolia
Lineage: Eukaryota; Viridiplantae; Streptophyta; Magnoliopsida; Proteales; Proteaceae
Exons: 2
Source: RefSeq, a predicted model, not a curated record